RNAcentral lists this ribosomal RNA (791 nucleotides) under Antricola marginatus. Its description in RNAcentral is "SSU rRNA". It matches the Rfam family "Eukaryotic small subunit ribosomal RNA", at positions 994 to 1801 of the family's 1831-position model. The record is from RNAcentral. Lineage: Eukaryota; Metazoa; Arthropoda; Arachnida; Ixodida; Argasidae.
AGGUUCGAAGGCGAUCAGAUACCGCCCUAGUUCUAACCAUAAACGAUGCCAACCAGCAAUCCGCCUGAGUUACUCCAAUGACUCUGCGGGCAGCUUCCGGGAAACCAAAGUAUUUGGGUUCCGGGGGAAGUAUGGUUGCAAAGCUGAAACUUAAAGGAAUUGACGGAAGGGCACCACCAGGAGUGGAGCCUGCGGCUCAAUUUGACUCAACACGGGAAAACUUACCCGGCCCGGACACUGGGAGGAUUGACAGAUUGAGAGCUCUUUCUUGAUUCGGUGGAUGGUGGUGCAUGGCCGUUCUUAGUUGGUGGAGCGAUUUGUCUGGUUAAUUCCGAUAACGAACGAGACUCCAGCCUACUAAAUAGGUGCGAGGUUCUCUGCACCUUUCACCCUUCUUAGAGGGACAAGCGGCUCCUAGCCGCACGAAACGGAGCAAUAACAGGUCUGUGAUGCCCUUAGAUGUCCGGGGCCGCACGCGCGCUACACUGAAGAAAGCAGCGUGUGUUUUCCCUGCCUGAAAAGACUGGGUAACCCAAUGAACCUUCUUCGUGAUUGGGAUAGGGGAUUGCAAUUAUUCCCCUUGAACGAGGAAUUCCCAGUAAGCGCAAGUCAUAAGCUCGCGCUGAUUACGUCCCUGCCCUUUGUACACACCGCCCGUCGCUACUACCGAUUGGAUGAUUUAGUGAGGUCUUCGGAUCGGUACCCGUAGCGACCGCACCGCGGCCGCGCCGGAGUGUUGAGAAGAUGACCGAACUUGAUCAUUUAGAGGAAGUAAAAGUCGUAACAAGGUU